AGCGGCGGACGGGUGAGUAACGCGUGGGUAACCUGCCUCAUACAGGGGGAUAACAGUUGGAAACGGCUGCUAAUACCGCAUAAGCGCACAGUACCGCAUGGUACCGUGUGAAAAACUCCGGUGGUAUGAGAUGGACCCGCGUCUGAUUAGCCAGUUGGUGGGGUAACGGCCUACCAAGGCGACGAUCAGUAGCCGACCUGAGAGGGUGACCGGCCACAUUGGGACUGAGACACGGCCCAA
RNAcentral lists this ribosomal RNA (240 nucleotides) under uncultured bacterium. Its description in RNAcentral is "partial 16S ribosomal RNA". It matches the Rfam family "Bacterial small subunit ribosomal RNA", at positions 94 to 334 of the family's 1533-position model. The record is from RNAcentral.